Molecule: ribosomal RNA, 111 nt
Filed under: Caerostris darwini
Lineage: Eukaryota; Metazoa; Arthropoda; Arachnida; Araneae; Araneidae
Source: RNAcentral
AACGGCCAUACCAUGCUGAAUAUAUCGGUUCUCGUUAGAUCACCGAAGUCAAGCAUCAUUGGGCGCGGUCAGUACUUGGGUGGGUGACCACCUGGGAACACCGCGUGUCGU